AAAGAAAGAAGGGGUCAUUUUAUGAUUUAGAGAAAAAGAAGACCAACCUCCCAAUUCGGUGCUAAUUUUGAUUAUCAUCUAAUCGAUUAUUUUAUUGGCGCUAUCAAAAGAACUAUACCUGGUAUGCGUUAGUUAACUUUUAUGUCUUCAUAAAGUUCAUAUUAACAGUUUUAUGGCCCGAAUGCCAGUUAUUCUGUUGGAUUUUAUGAGCAACUGCUUGUAAAACAAUCACCGCUUCUGGUACAGUUCAAGAAUUCAUUAGUUAGAAAGGAAAUAGAGCUUCAAAACGGAGUCGUUCCUGUGCAGGAACGAAAUUUUAUGCAAUCACACAGGACGUGACCUUGGCAGAGGUCUGAAAGGCAUCAAGGUCGACCCGCGAGUCUUCUGGCGUAAUGUGUGGAAGUCUUCCCCUUAGGCUGGACGGCGGACACAGUCAAUGCCAGCACCCCAUGCCGCCCUUGGUCAGGGCAGAUGCCAGCUCAGCUCACUCUGAACGCCAGUCUCCUCCUCUUCUCCGGGUACUCCAGCUUCCCCGGCCUGACCACACUCCCCUCCCCCCUGGCCGAGGCACCUCUGGCGCGGUUGCAGCCGCGGAGAACUCGAGGAGAACUGGCCGCCUCUCCUGGAAAUUACCUUCUAAUAGAAACCAAGAACGAGCGAAUACAACUAAUUACAGACGGUGGCUAGUACCGUGUAGGAAAUACACAGGAAGCUGUGGUAGAAACUAACAGGCCUCCUCAGGAUGUAUGAGGUGUCACUUGACCCUCCUCUACUUGGCCCUGGCCCCAGGCAUACUUUUGCAAAGUUCUCUGACUCCUGGUUUGGAAUACUGUCCUCUGAUUAGCUCAGCAUCAUUCUUCAGAUCUCUGCUCAAGUGUUAUGGGUGUGUGAUGCCUUUCUUGAUUUCCCCAGCCAGACUCCUUGUUGCUGCUUCUACUUUUUCUUACCCCUUAUACUAAGGGCCAUUAGAGCACAUAUCACUAUUUCAUUUGUUUGCAUAUCUGUAUAAGGAAAAGCCACAGUUCAGUAUUUCUCUUGAAUAGAGAAAAACUCAGUCC
Herpailurus yagouaroundi (jaguarundi) is the source of this 1058-nucleotide long non-coding RNA. RefSeq lists it as uncharacterized. The record is from RefSeq and is a predicted model, not a curated record. The transcript has 2 exons. Lineage: Eukaryota; Metazoa; Chordata; Mammalia; Carnivora; Felidae.